AAACGAAUAAAUAAUAAAACACGUUUCUUUAUUUUAUCAUCACAUAAUUGAUAAGACAAGGAGAGAUUCUUACAAUAAUAUUAUCAUAAUCUUCAUCUGUAGCUCAGUUACAGAACGUUAAUUAACCCAACCUCAACAGUAACUCUAAAACAAAACAUGAUUAAAACAAAAACAAAUGAUGAUUAUGAUAAAUAAUCACAUUGUUGCUUUAAUAUCUCCACCAUUUACUUGUUCAGAAAUACUAAUCACUUUGCUCUGUUUCUUCUCUUCUUCAGCCAAUUUUGGUACAGUAAUCUUCAACACCCCAUUAUCCAAAUUAGCUUUAAUAUGUUCCAAAUCAACAUUCCUUGGAAGCUUAAACUGUCUCCAGAACUUUCCAGAAGUUCUCUCAACUCUAUGCCAUUUCUCACUUUCAAUAUUUUCCUCCUCUGUUUUUCUCUCUCCGCUGAUUCUCAAUACUCUGUUUUCUUCAACCUCAAUCUUGAUAUCUUCCUUUUUCAUCCCAGGAAUGUCAAGUGAAAUUAUGUGUUCUUUCGAUGUUUCUUUCCAAUCUGAACGAGCUAAUAAGGCGAUUGUUUGAUCAAUCCCUUUAGGGAUUGUAAGUGGGGUUUGUUCA
This 616-nucleotide unclassified non-coding RNA is filed under the name Hevea brasiliensis (rubber tree). Lineage: Eukaryota; Viridiplantae; Streptophyta; Magnoliopsida; Malpighiales; Euphorbiaceae. The record is from RNAcentral.